Molecule: long non-coding RNA, 257 nt
Organism: Venturia canescens
Lineage: Eukaryota; Metazoa; Arthropoda; Insecta; Hymenoptera; Ichneumonidae
Exons: 3
Source: RefSeq, a predicted model, not a curated record
AGGUAAUAGAGAUCGACGGGGUAAUCCUGGGCCUGACUGUACUUGAGGGUCACGUGAUGUUCCUCGCCUUAAAAAUAACACGUUUCGUGACGUCGUGAGGAAAGCCGAAAAAUGUGAGUUCGAGUGGAGUGGGGAAACGGUAAGUAAAACGGUGGAAAAAAAUCAGCUGGUUGAAGGGAGUAACCAUCUAGUAUAGAGUUCUCUUCGUCCGGCAAGUUUCAUGCAGGAAGAAUACGGAACUGAGCAUUAAAGCUUCA